GCCCGCAUUGUAAUUUGUAGAGGAUGCUUUUGGUGCGGUACCUUCCGAGUUCCUUGGAACAGGACGCCUUAGAGGGUGAGAGCCCCGUACGGUUGGAUGCCUAGCCUCUGUAAAGCUCCUUCGACGAGUCGAGUAGUUUGGGAAUGCUGCUCUAAAUGGGAGGUAAAUUUCUUCUAAAGCUAAAUAUUGGCCAGAGACCGAUAGCGCACAAGUAGAGUGAUCGAAAGAUGAAAAGCACUUUGAAAAGAGGGUUAAAUAGCACGUGAAAUUGUUGAAAGGGAAGGAUUUAUCACCAGACCUUUGCCUGGCGGAUCAUCCGGUGUUCUCACCGGUGCACUUCGCCAGGUCGAGGCCAGCAUCGGUUUCGGCCGGGGGAUAAAGGCUUCGGGAAUGUGACUCGCUCCGGCGAGUGUUAUAGCCCGUUGCGUAAUACCCUGGCCGGGACCGAGGAACGCGCUCUGCAAGGAUGCUGGCAUAAUGGUGAUCAAUCACCCGUCUUGAAACACGGACCA
RNAcentral lists this ribosomal RNA (512 nucleotides) under Xylaria sp. 1H0202. RNAcentral describes it as "eukaryotic LSU rRNA". It matches the Rfam family "Eukaryotic large subunit ribosomal RNA", at positions 136 to 668 of the family's 3401-position model. The record is from RNAcentral. Lineage: Eukaryota; Fungi; Ascomycota; Sordariomycetes; Xylariales; Xylariaceae.